RNAcentral lists this long non-coding RNA (410 nucleotides) under Hordeum vulgare. RNAcentral describes it as "long non-coding RNA (HVUL_LNC020053)". The record is from RNAcentral. Lineage: Eukaryota; Viridiplantae; Streptophyta; Magnoliopsida; Poales; Poaceae.
UUCCCUUCUCUCUCCUCUUUUCUCUCAUCCAACUCAGCAAAAUUAUAGUAUUUUAAUCCUUACAGCUUGCUAACUGUACCUUAUUGUACUUGUUCUGAAACCGACGAUGAAUCACGCUAACCGAGGAGGAUUAGCUUAAGCAAUGCCUUGGAGAUGUGUGCUGUUCGUAGUAGCUUACGUGCGCAACGCGACAGGAGUAUGCAUUGUGAAUUGGCGCACGCAUGGAUGAGCUGUGUGUUAUGACUUAUGAAACGACCCCAGCAACUUGGUACUUCACGUAAUGAUGGCCACAAGCGUUGAUCCAACAUCAUCAGCGGAGCGGAGCGACCAAACCAGCAGCAAGGCCUGGGGGCUAACCCGCCACUGUUCCAGACAGAAGAACCAGGAGCAUGCACCCAGCCACCGUACCC